Molecule: ribosomal RNA, 253 nt
Filed under: uncultured bacterium
Lineage: Bacteria
Description: partial 16S ribosomal RNA
Rfam family: Bacterial small subunit ribosomal RNA
Source: RNAcentral
UACGUAGGGAGCAAGCGUUGUCCGGAAUCAUUGGGCGUAAAGCGCGCGUAGGUGGCUUCGUAAGUCCGUUGUGAAAGUCAAAGGCUCAACCUUUGAGAGCCGAUGGAUACUGUGAAGCUAGAGUACGGAAGAGGCGAGUGGAAUUCCUGGUGUAGCGGUGGAAUGCGCAGAUAUCAGGAGGAACACCAAUAGCGAAGGCAGCUCGCUGGGACGUUACUGACACUGAGGCGCGAAAGCGUGGGGAGCGAACAGG